This 120-nucleotide ribosomal RNA is filed under the name uncultured bacterium. RNAcentral describes it as "partial 16S ribosomal RNA". It matches the Rfam family "Bacterial small subunit ribosomal RNA", at positions 215 to 334 of the family's 1533-position model. The record is from RNAcentral.
GCGCCGUGGGAGGGGGCUGCGGCCCAUCAGGUGGUUGGCGGGGUAACGGCCCACCAAGCCGAUGACGGGUUGCUGGUCUGUGAGGACAACCAGCCAGACUGGGACUGAGAGACGGCCCAG